GUGCCAGCGCCGCGGUAAUACCGGCAGCCCGAGUGAUGGCCGAUCUUAUUGGGCCUAAAGCGUCCGUAGCCGGCCGCGCAAGUCCAUCGGGAAAUCCACCCGCUCAACGGGUGGCCGUCCGGUGGAAACUGCACGGCUUGGGACCGGAAGGCGCGACGGGUACGUCCGGGGUAGGAGUGAAAUCCCAUAAUCCCGCACGGACCACCGAUGGCGAAAGCACUUCGAGAAAACGGAUCCGACAGUGAGGGACGGAAGCUGGGAUCUCGAACCGGAUUAGAUACCCCUGUAGUCC
Molecule: ribosomal RNA, 292 nt
Filed under: uncultured bacterium
Lineage: Bacteria
Description: partial 16S ribosomal RNA
Rfam family: Archaeal small subunit ribosomal RNA
Source: RNAcentral